AUACGGAGGACGCGAGCGUUAUCCGGAUUCAUUGGGUUUAAAGGGUGCGCAGGCGGCCGUGCAAGUCAGCGGUGAAAGCCCGGGGCUCAACCCCGGAAGUGCCGUUGAUACUGCAUGGCUGGAAUGCGGUCGAGGCGGGCGGGAAGGGGCGGGUAGCGGGGAAAUGGGUAGAUAAGCCACAGAAAGCCGAUAGCGGAGGCAGCUCGCCAGGCCUGCAUUGACGCUCGGGCACGAAAGCGUGGGGAUCGAACAGGAUUAGAUACCCUGGUAGUCCACGCCGUAAACGAUGGGCGCUCGUCGUCGGCGGCAGACAGUCGGCGGCCAAGCGAAAGCGAUAAGCGCCCCACCUGGGGAGUACGGUCGCAAGGCUGAAACUCAAAUGAAUUGACGGGG
This 393-nucleotide ribosomal RNA is filed under the name uncultured bacterium. RNAcentral describes it as "partial 16S ribosomal RNA". It matches the Rfam family "Bacterial small subunit ribosomal RNA", at positions 523 to 918 of the family's 1533-position model. The record is from RNAcentral.